UACGAAGGGGGCUAGCGUUGCUCGGAAUGACUGGGCGUAAAGCGCGCGCAGGCGGCCCUUUAAGUCCGUCGGUCAAAUGCCGGGGCUCAACCCCGAGCGUGCCGAGGAUACUGGAGGGCUGGAGACACGUAGAGGCAAGCGGAAUUCCGGGUGUAGCGGUGGAAUGCGUAGAGAUCCGGAAGAACACCGGAGGCGAAGGCGGCUUGCUGGGCGUGAUCUGACGCUGAGGCGCGAAGGCCAGGGGAGCAAACGGG
This 254-nucleotide ribosomal RNA is filed under the name uncultured bacterium. RNAcentral's name for it is "partial 16S ribosomal RNA". It matches the Rfam family "Bacterial small subunit ribosomal RNA", at positions 524 to 776 of the family's 1533-position model. The record is from RNAcentral.